UCCCUAGUAACUUAGUUGGUAAAGAAUCUGCCUGCAAUGCAGGAGACCCUGGUUUGACUCCUGGGUCAGGAA
This 72-nucleotide transfer RNA is filed under the name Bos taurus (domestic cattle). It matches the Rfam family "tRNA". Rfam says of the family: Transfer RNA (tRNA) molecules are approximately 80 nucleotides in length. Their secondary structure includes four short double-helical elements and three loops (D, anti-codon, and T loops). The record is from Rfam by way of RNAcentral. Lineage: Eukaryota; Metazoa; Chordata; Mammalia; Artiodactyla; Bovidae. RNAcentral also lists the same sequence under 2 other names.